This is a long non-coding RNA of Populus nigra (black poplar), 913 nucleotides long. RefSeq lists it as uncharacterized. The transcript has 2 exons. Lineage: Eukaryota; Viridiplantae; Streptophyta; Magnoliopsida; Malpighiales; Salicaceae. The record is from RefSeq and is a predicted model, not a curated record.
GAGAUUCCUACUGGUGCUGCGUGGGAAAUAGAAUUGUUCAAGAGCAUAACCAAUGACAUGGAGCCUGAUGUCGAGGGACAGCUUCAAGAACCACUGACAGAAGAAGCUCAUGAUGAUGUCUCUUUUCAAAUCAUUACGAUUUUCCCCGACUCAGGAAAACAAAAGAGAAAUUCCCAUUCCCAUGUCCUCAGCAUCAUAAGAGGAUAAGUCUCAAUUUUACUAGUAAAAUUGAGAGCACUUCAAUAGGCGCUGUAUCAUCUGUUGAAGCAAGAUGCACUCAGGCAACAGAGGCAUUUCUUGUCAGCAAAACAAAAAACAAAAAAAGGGAUGCGGGUGCUCACAGAUGGUGAGAAAACUAAUGCUCUUCAGAAAACUAAUGCUGCUUUCCAAUCCACGAAUCCUUCUAUAUAUCCUUCUAGGUAUAGCUGCUCCAACACUUGCAUAUGAUGUUUUUAUUUGUUUUCUCGAACCUGACCUUAAAACUUGCGACCUGUCGGGUGGGACAAGAGGUCCCACGUCCAAGCCAUGAAAACCAGGGUGAGGCAAGUGCUUCCAAACUUUUUGCUACUUAUUAGACCCCAAGCCAAGUUCUCAGGAGGAUGAACCUUCUCUUAGUCUUCUCUGGUAUUUUUUUUUAAAAUGUUCGUUGCAGGCAUCUUAACAAGACUGAUCAACAGGAGGUAGAAUCAGUUUUCUCACGUUGAGUAGAGUACCAUCUCGUGUCAUCUUUGACUAAAAUGCACGUAAGAAAAUGUGAGAGGUGUUGUUCAAUCCUUCUCGGGGACAUUAAAGGGAUUGUAUUAGUGAAUAAUAAUGUUAUUUCCAGAAGUUUCUGUAUGGAGAGGAGGUGGUAUGCCAAUCCCAAUGGGUUUAUCAUGACACUUUGACGAAAUACAUUUCCUAUUUCAUUUUC